CCCUUAGAUGUUCUGGGCCGCACACGCGCUACACUGAAGGAGGCAGCGUGUACUCCUGGAUCGAAAGAUUUGGGUAACCCGCGAAUCUCCUUCGUGCUAGGGAUUGAGGUUUGCAAUUAUCCGUCAUGAACGAGGAAUUCCCAGUAAGUGCAAGUCAUAAGCUUGCGCUGACUACGUCCCUGCCCUUUGUACACACCGCCCGUCGCUACUACCGAUUGAAUGAUUUAGUGAGGACUUCGGACUGGGACCGAUGCGGCUUUCGGGCUGCGUCGGUAUUCUGGAAAGAUGUCCAAACUGUAUCAUUUAGAGGAAGUAAAAGUCGUAACA
This 327-nucleotide ribosomal RNA is filed under the name uncultured eukaryote. RNAcentral's name for it is "partial 18S ribosomal RNA". It matches the Rfam family "Eukaryotic small subunit ribosomal RNA", at positions 1470 to 1796 of the family's 1831-position model. The record is from RNAcentral.